Molecule: ribosomal RNA, 522 nt
Filed under: Leptoxis ampla
Lineage: Eukaryota; Metazoa; Mollusca; Gastropoda; Pleuroceridae
Description: partial 16S ribosomal RNA
Rfam family: Bacterial large subunit ribosomal RNA
Source: RNAcentral
AAACAUGGCUCUUUGAAUUAUUUUUAUAGGGAGUCAGGCCUGCCCAGUGAAAUUUACUUUAACGGCCGCGGUACUCUGACCGUGCAAAGGUAGCAUAAUCAUUUGCCUUAUAAUUGAAGGCUAGUAUGAAUGGUUUAACGAGAGCAGCACUGUCUCUUUUUUAUUUUCAAGAACUUAACCUUUAGGUGAAGAGGCCUAAAUUUUAUUGAAGGACAAGAAGACCCUGUCGAGCUUAAAAGACACUAUAGAAGUUUAUAUAUAUACCUAAAUAAAUUUUCUGUUAAGCUUUUUAGUUGGGGCGACUAAGGAACAAAAAAAGCUUCUUAAGCAAAACAAACAUUCAAGUUUUGAUCCGGUGAUAGCCGAUUUAAGGAAUUAGUUACCGCAGGGAUAACAGCAUAAUCUCUCUUGAGAGACCUAAUCGAAAGAGGGGGUUGUGACCUCGAUGUUGGACUAGAAUAUCCUAAAGAUGCAGAAGUCUUUAAGGGUCGGUCUGUUCGACCGUUAAAAUUUUACGUGAUC